UACGGGGGGAGCAAGCGUUGUUCGGAUUUACUGGGCGUAAAGGGCGCGUAGGCGGCGCAACAAGUCACUUGUGAAAUCUCCGGGCUUAACCCGGAGCGGCCAAGUGAUACUGUCGUGCUAGAGUGCGGAAGGGGCUACUGGAAUUCUCGGUGUAGCGGUGAAAUGCGUAGAUAUCGAGAGGAACACCUGCGGCGAAGGCGGGUAGCUGGGCCGACACUGACGCUGAGGCGCGAAAGCCAGGGAAGCGAACGGG
Molecule: ribosomal RNA, 253 nt
Filed under: uncultured bacterium
Lineage: Bacteria
Description: partial 16S ribosomal RNA
Rfam family: Bacterial small subunit ribosomal RNA
Source: RNAcentral